This 2914-nucleotide long non-coding RNA is filed under the name Gallus gallus (chicken). The record is from RNAcentral. Lineage: Eukaryota; Metazoa; Chordata; Aves; Galliformes; Phasianidae.
GGGGGCGGGGGCCGGGCGGCUCCGGCCCCCGCGGGCCUCGGGGAGGCGGGGCCGGGGCGGGCGCUCGGCCCAAUCAGAGCGCGGCGGUUUCAAGAGGCCCCUUCCGCGCCCCGCUCCGCCCCGUGCGGCGCCGCGCUGCGGGCGGGCGGCCCCGGGGGAGCGCGGGCGGCCGGGAGCGGGCAGGGAGCGGUGAGCGCCGCUGUGCGCGGCGCGAUGGGCAGCGCGGCGCUCCCUGAGCCGUGCCUCGCAGCCGGGCUCCGCCGGCGGGGCGUCCCCGUUGCCUCCUCCGAAUAACGCUUCUGGGUCGGCGACGCGGAGCGGUUCGCGCUGCCCGCACGUCGGUUCGGUGCUGCCUGCGGGCGCACGGAGGCGGGGAAGGCCCUCGGCCGCUCCCCGUUGGCGGCGGAGAUGCGGCCGCCUCGAAGGCGAGGCGAUGCUGUGCGGUGGGGAGGCGGGGCGUCCCUCCCGGCCCCGCGGGGUCGCGCGUCGUUCCCCACCCGAAGCCCCGGUCGGCCUCUGCCGCCCCUCCCGCUCCGUCCGUGCGGGCGGAGGCCCUGCCGCCCCUCGCGGGUGUUCUCCGGGCCCGGGGGUCGGGGCGGGCCCGGCGGCGGCGCAGCGCCGUGCUGAGGGCUGGGUGCUGCACGGCGGAUGGCGGCGGCCCCGGCCGGAGGCAAUAAAACACCGGGAAUGAUGCGGCAAAACGGGCCGGAGCUGCGUGGCGAAAUAAAUCAUCCCACGCGGAGGAGGCGGUUUUCUGCCCGGCCUUUCGCGUUGGCCCCCGACAAAGCCCCGGCGGGCAGCGAGGGCCGGGCUGGAUGCGGCCCUGCACGGCGCCCCCGGCCGCUGCCAUCAUCUCCUCCCACCUCCCUCGCCUUCACCUUGGAGCGAGCGGCUCGCCGAGCUGCCAGCGGUGAUAAAAUGGCUGUGCCCCGAAUUUAUGGGGCUUAUCUGUGAGUAACUCUUGGAGGUGACGCGGCCGUCGAGCCGGGGAGGAGGGGAGCUUUGCUUUGGGAUACGCCGCGCUCGCAGCCCCGGCGUGUGCCCCCGCUGCUCCCCUUGUCCGCCGUGCCCUCAGAGCCCCCCGUAUCCCCAGCUCAUAGGGACACAGCGGCCCCAGCCCAGCUCCCUGCUGGCACGCUGAGGGCUCGUUUCCUACGCUCGGCGCGUUUACGAGGAGCUCCAUCGCUUUGGCACAUGGCAGCGGCCCCUGCGGAGCACAUUUAGCACCCCGGGAUUGCUGCUUCUCGACGCGUGUGCCUCCGCUGUGCUGCAGGGAGCCCUGGGGACAAGCAGGCACCGAGCAGCACCCGGGCUGGGGGAAGCACCGCGCCGGAGCCCUCCCUCCACGCUGCCGCAGUGACAUCCAUCACAAGUUUCUAAGCCUCAUCUAAUUUUGGAGGCCUUCAGCAAAUCCAGGCGCUGUCGCUGCCAAACGAGGCUGCCAAUGUUUCCCUCGGAAGACGGCUUUGCUCCGAAGGACCCUUCUGGAUGGUUUUGCUUUGAAUAGAAGGAUGGAACCGGGCGGCAUGGCUGUGGGAUGGCCCCGCUGCGGUGUGAGCCUUCCCUUUGUCGCCCUUCAGCCAUGAAAAGUGGGAGGUUCGGACCGUGUCCAGGGAAAAGAAUGGGACAGAGGGGCCGAGGGAAGCCAGAGGCGGUGAGGUCGGCGUGCCGGGAGGUGCGAGGGCUUGCAGAAACCCAACUGCUUCUGCAGUUACCCGGCGUCAGGAAAAUGAAGCUGAAGUGUGAAAAAAUGAAAGUGAAAAAGAUAGGAACCAACCCACGGCUAUUUAUUCUAAAAAUACUGACCUAAAUACUUAAGUGCACGUAUAAAAGUAGUUGUCUUUUCUUAUUCCCUUUAUGGACUCCCCUGCUUUGGUUCUUGUUUUGCUCAGAAAUCGGAGGGAUGGGCUCCUCGGGGGCACCCACCCCAUUCCUCCUGUGCUUUGCCGUGUGCCCCAAGCCCACCCAGAGCCCCGUAUGGGGCGGGGACACCCACAGGUGGCUGAUAAGGGAGCAGGGAGUGAUAUGGCCCCAGGGUGAGGAGCAGUGCUGGGGUGACUCUACAGAGCCUGUAAAACCUCAUCUGCAGGGAGAAAAGGAGCUGCUGGGGUCCCUUCCUCACCUCAGCCAGCAGAUCUUCCCUGCGCUCUUUGCUUUUUUUUUUUUAUAUGGAAAACCAAAGACACCAUAAACAGCUAAAAAAGAGCAGUUUGGGCUGUGGCUCUGGCCUGGAGUUACCUGCCUGAGCGCUGGGUUGCAUAGGGAGGGGAUGCUUAAUUGCAACACGUCGCUGGAAGGGAAACGCACGCCUUCCGUGCGUGCUUGUCUUGUCUGCACGGAGGGGAAGCUGCAGCCUCAGACCCCAGGAGCAGCGGGGGAGCUGGGGAGCCUGGGUCCUGCAGUGUGCUGAGCACAGCAACAGCCGAGAAACGGAGCCGGUCUGGGGGACGGGGGAGAAGCUGAGGCAGGGGCAGCAGCAGGAAGAUGCCUGUCCCCAUCCAUCCUCUGCUGUCCCCGUGCUGGGGACAGCCUCCCUGACCUCCCGUCCAGGCUGGGCGCCUGCAGACGGACCUUUGGAGGCAUCAAAGGAGGUGGAGAUUCCAGCCCCUAUUGAAUUUCUAGUCCCCAACGACCUGAGGGGCAGGGGAAAGAAGGGAACUGGUUUUUGUCUGCUCGGUAUCUCAGACAAUCAAUGAAUUAAAGGGAAAUAAACUGCUGAUGAGGAGCGAACGUGGAGCUCGACGUGCUGCAAAACGUGAGGAGCAGAGAAGCGGCCGUGGCCAUUCCACUGUGCGGGGCAGGAAAGGGACGAUGGUGUGGGCACAGAGAAGGCCUUUCUUUCAUUUGUUCCUGGCCAAGAGCACACGCAGAUCGCCCUGGGGACACCGGCACUUUCCUCCUCCGCGCAGAAUGU